Molecule: long non-coding RNA, 1313 nt
Filed under: Malus domestica (apple)
Lineage: Eukaryota; Viridiplantae; Streptophyta; Magnoliopsida; Rosales; Rosaceae
Description: long non-coding RNA (MDOM_LNC005258)
Source: RNAcentral
GAUGGCGAGGAUGAGGAGGACGAGGAAGCCGACGAAGACGAGAUUGUAGCAGAACAUGAGGAGGGAGACCCAGAGGAAAGUGAUGAAGAGGCGCUUGAAGACUUUUGGGAUUGCAGAGAGGGUGUUGGAGAAAGAGACGGGCUUGGAGGUGUAGAGGGAGGCGGCGGUGAAGACGACGGCGGCGGUGGAGAGGAGGGAGAAGGCGAAGAGGAAGAUGAGGUAGCAGAAUUGGAAGAGGAGGAGGAGGGUCCAUUCUUGGUGGAGCUGGGCGGGGUCGGUGGAAGGGCCUUGGAGCUGGUUGAGGAGAGGGUGGGUGAAGAGGGAGUGGGCGAGGAUGGCGAAGGAGAGAGGGAAGAUUAGGGUUAGGGUUAUGAGGUAGAAGGUUUUGGGCGACUGUUUGGGGAUGGAGGUGGAUUCUCUGAGGAUGUCAGGGAUGGUGAGAAAUUGGAGUUCCUCUGGGGCCAGAUCCAUUUGGAUUUGGAAGGUCUGUUUGGAUGAAAAGAAAAGAAAAGUUGGGUUUUUGAUUGAUGGGGUGUUGAGUUUUAGAGAGAGAGAGAGAGAUUGGAGGUCUAGAGAUUGGGGAAGAAGGCAGGAAGGAGGAAGAAGAAGAUGGUGGGGGAAAAGCGGUCAUUAUUUUAUCUAAAUGUUGAUGUGGAUACGUGCAAAGUAAUAAGCUUAUGUGGCAUGUCGGUGAUGCAUACGAAAUUAGAUCCGUUCCGAACCUUAAUGUCCAGAACUUUAGUGUGAGUUUGAUCCUUAUCGGUCUCACUCUCCCUAACAACUAAUAAUUUAACCGACUAACUCUAUUGUUUGUGAAAAAAAAAAAAAAUCGACUAUCAAUCUCAUGUCCUAGUUUUAGUAUUCUUAUAUUUGCGUUAAGCAAAUUGAUUAACGUUGUGUGUUCAAUAUCUUUGUACUAAGUUCUAAAUAUUCUGUAAAUUAGAGGGUUAUAGAUUCGAGCCCAACCACGCGUUUUUUAAGAACUCAAUCAAUGUAGUUAUAACCCAAUUAUCUUGUUCAAUUCAGAUCUAAUUUGUUUUACGUUCAUGGAAAGAUGAUAUAAGGCUAUAUGCAAGAUAUUAUUCAAUUUGAAAAAUCGUUUAAUCAUCAUGGACGUAGGCACGUUAACCACAUAUUUUUUAAGAACUCAAUCAAUGUUAUUGACACCGGUCAUUUUCUUUACGUUCAUGGAAAGAUGAUAUAUGCAAGAUAUUAUUCAAUUUGAAAAAUCGUUUAAUCAUCAUUGACAUAGGCACGUUAAACACACUUGAAUGCCAAAAACCAGAGCAAAGAUCACCCUUAGAGCAAGUCCA